UACAGAGGGGGCAAGCGUUGUUCGGAAUUACUGGGCGUAAAGCGUGCGUAGGCGGUUUGCCGUGUCCUGUGUGAAAGCCCCGGGCUCAACCUGGGAAUUGCAUGGGAAACUGGCAGGCUUGAGUGUGGCAGAGGAGGGUGGAAUUCCGCGUGUAGCAGUGAAAUGCGUAGAGAUGCGGAGGAACACCGAUGGCGAAGGCAGCCCUCUGGGCCAACACUGACGCUCAGGCACGAAAGCGUGGGGAGCAAACAGG
This 253-nucleotide ribosomal RNA is filed under the name uncultured bacterium. RNAcentral describes it as "partial 16S ribosomal RNA". It matches the Rfam family "Bacterial small subunit ribosomal RNA", at positions 524 to 776 of the family's 1533-position model. The record is from RNAcentral.